GACGAACGCUGGCGGCGUGCCUAAUACAUGCAAGUCGAGCGCUGAAGGUUGGUACUUGUACCGACUGGAUGAGCAGCGAACGGGUGAGUAACGCGUGGGGAAUCUGCCUUUGAGCGGGGGACAACAUUUGGAAACGAAUGCUAAUACCGCAUAAAAACUUUAAACACAAGUUUUAAGUUUGAAAGAUGCAAUUGCAUCACUCAAAGAUGAUCCCGCGUUGUAUUAGCUAGUUGGUGAGGUAAAGGCUCACCAAGGCGAUGAUACAUAGCCGACCUGAGAGGGUGAGCAGCCAGACUGGGACGGAGACACGGCCCAAAGGGCUUGGGGAGGGAGCAGGAGGGAAUCUUCAGCAAGGGGUGAGAGACUGACCAAGCAGCGCCGCGGGAGUGAAGAAGGAUGUCGGGUCGGAAAACUCUGUUUGUAGGGAGGAACGUUGGUGAGAGUGGAAAGCUCAGCAAGUGACGGUAACGGCCCAGAAAGGGACGGCUAACUACGUG
This 497-nucleotide ribosomal RNA is filed under the name uncultured bacterium. RNAcentral describes it as "partial 16S ribosomal RNA". It matches the Rfam family "Bacterial small subunit ribosomal RNA", at positions 28 to 507 of the family's 1533-position model. The record is from RNAcentral.